This 31-nucleotide transfer RNA is filed under the name Drosophila hirtitibia. RNAcentral's name for it is "partial tRNA-Met". Lineage: Eukaryota; Metazoa; Arthropoda; Insecta; Diptera; Drosophilidae. The record is from RNAcentral.
AUUAAUAAAGGUUUUAAUCCUUUUCUUUUUA